RNAcentral lists this ribosomal RNA (459 nucleotides) under uncultured bacterium. Its description in RNAcentral is "partial 16S ribosomal RNA". It matches the Rfam family "Bacterial small subunit ribosomal RNA", at positions 338 to 795 of the family's 1533-position model. The record is from RNAcentral.
CCUACGGGGUGCAGCAGUGAGGAAUAUUGGUCAAUGGUCGGGAGACUGAACCAGCCAAGCCGCGUGAGGGAUGAAGGUACAGAGUAUCGUAAACCUCUUUUGUCAGGGAACAAAGGCGGGGACGUGUCCCCGGAUGAGUGUACCUGAAGAAAAAGCAUCGGCUAACUCCGUGCCAGCAGCCGCGGUAAUACGGGGGAUGGGAGGGUUAUCCGGAUUUAUUGGGUUUAAGGGGUGCGCAGGCGGUCUGUUAAGUAAGCGGUAAAAGCCCGGGGCUCAACCCCGGCCCGCCGUUGAAACUGGCAGUCUCGAGUUGGAGAGAAGUAUGCGGAAUGCGCGGUGUAGCGGUGAAAUGCAUAGAUAUCGCGCAGAACUCCGAUUGCGAAGGCAGCAUGCCGGCUCCACACUGACGCUGAGGCACGAAAGCGUGGGUAUCGAACAGGAUUAGAUACCCUGGUAGUC